UACGUAGGGUCCAAGCGUUAAUCGGAAUUACUGGGCGUAAAGCGUGCGCAGGCGGUUGUGUAAGCCAGAUGUGAAAUCCUCGGGCUUAACCUGGGAAUGGCAUUUGGGACUGCACGGCUAGAGUACGGCAGAGGAGACUAGAAUUCCUGGUGUAGCAGUGAAAUGCGUAGAGAUGUGGAGGAACACCGAUGGCGAAGGCAGCCCCCUGGGUCAAGAUUGACGCUCAUGCACGAAAGCGUGGGGAGCAAACAGG
Molecule: ribosomal RNA, 253 nt
Filed under: uncultured bacterium
Lineage: Bacteria
Description: partial 16S ribosomal RNA
Rfam family: Bacterial small subunit ribosomal RNA
Source: RNAcentral